RNAcentral lists this ribosomal RNA (1004 nucleotides) under Cepphus carbo. Its description in RNAcentral is "partial 16S ribosomal RNA". It matches the Rfam family "Bacterial large subunit ribosomal RNA", at positions 861 to 2564 of the family's 2925-position model. The record is from RNAcentral. Lineage: Eukaryota; Metazoa; Chordata; Aves; Charadriiformes; Alcidae.
GAAAUGAAUCUUAGUUCUCCCUUGAUUCUCCUCCCCGGACAUCCUACCUUAACCCCUAUGAAGUGAAUCAAGAGUAAUUUAAAGGAGGUACAGCUCCUUUAAAAAAGAAUACAACCUCCACUAGCGGAUAACCUCCCAAACUUCUCCUUAAAUUGUAGGCCCUUAAGCAGCCACCAAUAAAGAGUGCGUCAAAGCUCCACAUACAAAAAUCCAACAACAAUACGACUCCCUCCCUAUUAACAGGCCAACCUAUAUCAAUAGGAGCAUUAAUGCUAAAAUGAGUAACUAGGGACCUCCCUCCUAAGCGCAAACUUACACUAUCAUAUUAUUAACAGACAAUAAGCCAAUAUCUCAACUACAACAAGACUAAAAUAUUAGACCUACUCUGUUACCCCAACUAAGGAGCGCCCAUUAGAAAGAUUAAAAUCUGUAAAAGGAACUAGGCAAACCUAAGGCCCGACUGUUUACCAAAAACAUAGCCUUCAGCCCGCCAAGUAUUGAAGGUGAUGCCUGCCCAGUGACGCAACGUUUAACGGCCGCGGUAUCCUAACCGUGCGAAGGUAGCGCAAUCAAUUGUCCCAUAAAUCGAGACUUGUAUGAAUGGCUAAACGAGGUCUUAACUGUCUCUUACAGAUAAUCAGUGAAAUUGAUCUCCCUGUACAAAAGCAGGAAUUCGAACAUAAGACGAGAAGACCCUGUGGAACUUAAAAAUCAACGGUCACUACAUACAGAUUUAAACCUACUAGGCUCAUUAUCCCUAAAUGUUUGACCCGUAUUUUUCGGUUGGGGCGACCUUGGAGAAAAACAAACCCUCCAAAAAUAAGACUACCCCUCUUAACCAAGAGCAACUCCUCAACGUACUAAUAGUAACCAGACCCAAUUCAAUUGAUUAAUGGACCAAGCUACCCCAGGGAUAACAGCGCAAUCUCCUCUAAGAGCCCACAUCGACGAGGAGGUUUACGACCUCGAUGUUGGAUCAGGACAUCCUGAUGGUGCAGCCGCUA